Molecule: long non-coding RNA, 1056 nt
Filed under: Junco hyemalis (dark-eyed junco)
Lineage: Eukaryota; Metazoa; Chordata; Aves; Passeriformes; Passerellidae
Description: lncRNA (ENSJHYG00000007684.1)
Source: RNAcentral
AUGGUGGCAGCUGCCUCAGCUGGCAGCCCUGGUGCCAAGCCUGGCACUGGUGGCUGCCCGUGCCUGGCACAGCACAGCACAGCCUGCCAGGGCCUGUCAGCGCCGUGGCACCGGAGCAGCUCCAUCCCAGGCAUGUCAGGGAGUGGCUCCUGGGGCUGGGGGCUGCAGCUGCUGCACCGUGAUGGGGAGUGGCAAGGGGGUGGCAGUGCCCUUCACUCCAGCAGUGUGGGCUCUGCCCUGGGCACUCCAGGGGAAAGCAGGCUGUGCCAAGGAGCCCGAGCACAGCCUGACACUGCUGCUGAGUCACCACCACCAGCAGCACUGACACCAACCCUGCCUGCUUCCAGCCUGACAGGUCCAGACACCAGCCCGAGCACUCCUGCACAGCAGCACUUUAAUUGGGCCGCAGAGCCCUGCCCAGCCCAGCCCUCGGCAGCACGGAGAUUCCUCCAGGUCUGUUCCACCAGGUGGUGCUGGGGUGGCCCCAUGGCCACCUGGUUUGUGUGGCCGCAGUCAGCCUGCUGCUCUCCUGGUGAGCACUGGGCUGGAGCUGGCCCCAAGCCUGCUGCCCCUAGGCAGGUGAAGGUGGUUGUGGAGAAAGCUCAUGGUCCCCAAAGGAUUCUGAGAACAGCCAGGGCACGCUGGCAGGAGGGAGAGCUGAAGGGCAGUUCUCUGCAAGCAGUGAGCCACACGGAGCAGGGCUGUGAGGUGAAGCAGUCCUGCUGUGCCCUGGGGUGUGUAGGCGGGCUGGGUCCCAUGCCUGCUGCAUCCCAGCAGCUCCAGGCAGCAGGAGCUCCUGCAUCCCUGGGAUGCAGCACUCCCAAUGACACCUCCCAAUGGGUCCUUGGCCAUGGCAAGAGGAGGAUCUUCCCCAGCACUCCAUGGUCCCCCAGCUUCCAGCGCUGUGUUGUGAUGCACAGAUUCAGUCCCAGCUGCAAGCAGAGUCUGUUCCAUCCCAUUCCUUCCUGUGGACACCAAGAGGACAGAGUCCCUAAGAUCCUGGGUCCCUGUCCCAGACCUGCCUCUAUCCUCUUCCCUGCCUCUGGGCCUCAGUAA